RNAcentral lists this ribosomal RNA (482 nucleotides) under uncultured bacterium. Its description in RNAcentral is "partial 16S ribosomal RNA". It matches the Rfam family "Bacterial small subunit ribosomal RNA", at positions 30 to 507 of the family's 1533-position model. The record is from RNAcentral.
AUUGAACGCUGGCGGCAUGCCUUACACAUGCAAGUCGAACGGUAACAGGUCUUCGGAUGCUGACGAGUGGCGAACGGGUGAGUAAUACAUCGGAACGUGCCCGAUCGUGGGGGUUAACGAGGCGAAAGCUUUGCUAAUACCGCAUACGACCUACGGAUGAAAGCGGGGGAUCUUCGGACCUCGCGCGGACGGAGCGGCCGAUGGCAGAUUAGGUAGUUGGUGGGAUAAAAGCUUACCAAGCCGACGAUCUGUAGCUGGUCUGAGAGGAUGAUCAGCCACACUGGAACUGAGACACGGCCCAGACUCCUACGGGAGGCAGCAGUGGGGAAUUUUGGACAAAGGGCGAAAGCCUGAUCCAGCCAUGCCGCGUGCAGGAUGAAGGCCUUCGGGUUGUAAACUGCUUUUGUACGGAACGAAAAGCCUCUUUCUAAUAAAGAGGGGUCAUGACGGUACCGUAAGAAUAAGCACCGGCUAACUACGUG